AGUCACCAAGUCAUCAUCAGAAGUUGGACCUCCUUUUGCUCUGGGGAGAAUAAAAAGGAACAGAUCUCUCCCUCAGACAUCACAUCCUUCUUCAGCAAUCCUUCGAUUCUCCUGUGGUGCUGCACUACUAAAGAAUCAUUCAAGAUGAAAACCUUCAUUCUGAUCGCUUGCAUCCUGGGGACUGCUCUCGGCCGCCCACAAAGGCUGGUCAUGGAGUUUGACUUCCAGGCUGCCAAUGCUCAGGCUCUCCGAGCUGGACAAGCCAGACCUGAUCUAGAGAUUAUCCUUCCUGUUGGUGGUGGAGUACCUUCGGGUGGUUUCAUCAAACAGGAGAUCCCCCAGCCACUCGGCCAGGAGAGCGUUGAGAUCUACCACCCCUUCUUCAUUCAGGUUGCCCCUCCUGCUCCUGCUUCACCUGCCCAUACUCAUACAUCCGAUGAGGAAGAUGAAUAGAGAUAUUACCAAUACUUGGAGAUCUACAAUACCCUUCGAUGAAACAACGAUGUCCUUCAACUCCACAGCUGCUCUUAGUGUCCUAGAUUGAUUCAGUAAAUGCAUUGCUUAACCCAGCAAUUAACAUAGAGUAACAUGGUGCUGAACCGAUUGCUUGAUGCAUGAAAGCUGUGUGUAAUUGUUUGUACCUGGCAGAAUAAUGUUAAUAAAACCCCCAGAAUGUUUUGCCAACCUUCUCCAUACCAUGCC
This 702-nucleotide long non-coding RNA is filed under the name Salmo salar (Atlantic salmon). RNAcentral describes it as "lncRNA (ENSSSAG00000005643.2, ENSSSAG00020048332.1, ENSSSAG00075005884.1)". The record is from RNAcentral. Lineage: Eukaryota; Metazoa; Chordata; Actinopteri; Salmoniformes; Salmonidae.